Molecule: ribosomal RNA, 237 nt
Filed under: uncultured bacterium
Lineage: Bacteria
Description: partial 16S ribosomal RNA
Rfam family: Bacterial small subunit ribosomal RNA
Source: RNAcentral
CGAACGGGUGAGUAACGCGUGAGGAACCUGCCUCAAAGAGGGGGACAACAGUUGGAAACGACUGCUAAUACCGCAUAAGCCCACGGCUCGGCAUCGAGCAGAGGGAAAAGGAGUGAUCCGCUUUGAGAUGGCCUCGCGUCCGAUUAGCUAGUUGGUGAGGUAACGGCCCACCAAGGCGACGAUCGGUAGCCGGACUGAGAGGUUGAACGGCCACAUUGGGACUGAGACACGGUCCAA